RNAcentral lists this transfer RNA (73 nucleotides) under Ictidomys tridecemlineatus (thirteen-lined ground squirrel). Its description in RNAcentral is "Spermophilus tridecemlineatus (thirteen-lined ground squirrel) tRNA". It matches the Rfam family "tRNA". From Rfam's summary of the family: Transfer RNA (tRNA) molecules are approximately 80 nucleotides in length. The record is from Rfam by way of RNAcentral. Lineage: Eukaryota; Metazoa; Chordata; Mammalia; Rodentia; Sciuridae.
AGGGAUAUAGCUCAGUUGGUAGAGUGUUUGACUUACAUGCACAAGGCCUUGGGUUCAAUCCCCAGUACCACAA